UCGUUUAGGGCUUGACCUCUCCAAAAUUAUGAUCGAUUGUCAUUUCCCAGCAGUGUUUGACGCCGUUUUUUGGUAUGAGAGAUUCAGAGUAGAGAGAUUAUACUAUAACGUCAACCUUGAUUUGUUAUUACGAAGUGCUAACGAUCACUUUACCAGAAAUGUAUUGAAAGGGCACGGAAAGAUUAAAUAAUAACAAGGGAAAUAUAAAAGCAGGAAGACAGGGGUUGAAGUGUUGGUCAAAGGCCGCCGUUAAGCAGUAUGUUACGAUCAGUAGCGACUCGUGGAUCAACUAAAUGGAAAAUAAGACUGGUAGAAACUUGCCUGCUCCUGUACCAUGUAAAGUAUGCGGUGAUAAAUCCUAUGGUAAACAUUAUGGAGUUUACUGUUGUGAUGGUUGUUCAUGUUUCUUCAAAAGAAGUAUACGAAAAAACGUA
This is a long non-coding RNA of Sitophilus oryzae (rice weevil), 434 nucleotides long. RefSeq lists it as uncharacterized. NCBI's taxonomy places the organism in Eukaryota, Metazoa, Arthropoda, Insecta, Coleoptera, Curculionidae. The transcript has 3 exons. The record is from RefSeq and is a predicted model, not a curated record.